RNAcentral lists this ribosomal RNA (151 nucleotides) under Macaca fascicularis (crab-eating macaque). RNAcentral describes it as "5.8S ribosomal RNA (ENSMFAG00000065301.1)". It matches the Rfam family "5.8S ribosomal RNA". Rfam says of the family: 5.8S ribosomal RNA (5.8S rRNA) is a component of the large subunit of the eukaryotic ribosome. The record is from Rfam by way of RNAcentral. Lineage: Eukaryota; Metazoa; Chordata; Mammalia; Primates; Cercopithecidae.
GACUCUUAGCGGUGGAUCACUCGGCUCGUGCGUCGAUGAAGAACGCAACUAACUGCGAGAAUUAAUGUGAAUUGCAGGACACAUUGAUCAUCGACACUUCGAACGCACUUGCGGCCCGGGUUCCUCCAGGGCUACGCCUAUCUGAGCGUCG